GAGUUUGUACUGAUGUGCUCAAUGCACAACUGUCCAUUCUGUACUCUUUCUUUAACAACCCGAAAUUUGACGUCGAUAUGUUUUGCUUUCGUCAAACUACUGUUUUUAUUAGCAUAAAGGACUGCCGAUCUGUUGUUGCAUAAUAGCCUAAUUGGCUUUUUAAUGCUAUCAACAAUCCGCAGUCCACAAACAAAAUUCCGCAGCCAUAAUGCCUCAUUGGAUGCUUCAUAACAUGCCAUGAAUUCCGCUUCCAUGGUGGAAGUGGCCGUAAGAAUUUGCUUGAUGCUUUUCCAAGAGAUAGCACCGCCAGCAAGCAUGUAAAUAUAGCCUGAAGUAGACUUCAAACUAUCCUGACAUCCAGCAAAAUCGGAAUCAUGCUUCAUAACAUGCCAUGAAUUCCGCUUCCAUGGUGGAAGUGGCCGUAAGAGUUUGCUUAAUGCUUCUCCAAUAGAUAACACCGCCAGCAAGCAUGUAAAUAUAGCCUGAUGUAGAUUUCAGACUAUCCUGACAUCCAGCAAAAUCGGAAUCGGUGUACCCAAUGAUCUCAAGCUGGUCUGAUUUCCGAUAUGUAAGCAUGUAAUCCUUUGUUCUCUGUAAGUACCUCAUGACCCUU
This 613-nucleotide long non-coding RNA is filed under the name Nicotiana benthamiana. RNAcentral describes it as "long non-coding RNA (NBEN_LNC040765)". Lineage: Eukaryota; Viridiplantae; Streptophyta; Magnoliopsida; Solanales; Solanaceae. The record is from RNAcentral.